RNAcentral lists this ribosomal RNA (24 nucleotides) under Faucherea sp. Anderberg 233. Its description in RNAcentral is "partial 26S ribosomal RNA". The record is from RNAcentral. Lineage: Eukaryota; Viridiplantae; Streptophyta; Magnoliopsida; Ericales; Sapotaceae.
UCGCGACCCCAGGUCAGGCGGGAU